Molecule: non-coding RNA, 58 nt
Organism: Aedes albopictus (Asian tiger mosquito)
Lineage: Eukaryota; Metazoa; Arthropoda; Insecta; Diptera; Culicidae
Source: Rfam
UAGCUUAGUGGUUAAGGCUAUGGAUCGCCAAUCCGGAGACAGCGGGUUCGAUUCCCGU